Molecule: ribosomal RNA, 404 nt
Filed under: uncultured bacterium
Lineage: Bacteria
Description: partial 16S ribosomal RNA
Rfam family: Bacterial small subunit ribosomal RNA
Source: RNAcentral
AUUGAACGCUGGCGGCAGGCCUAACACAUGCAAUUCGACCGAGCGGCGGAGGGGUGAGUACUUCCUGGGAAUUGCACAGUCGAGGGGGAUAACAGUUGGAAACUACUUCUAAUACCACAUACGAUAGUAUUGCCCAGGUGUGAUUAGCUAAUUGGUGAGGUAAUGGCUCACCAAGGCGACGAUCCCUAGCUGGUCUGAGGGGGUGAUCAGCCACACUGGAACUGAGACACGGUCCAGACUCCUACGGGAGGCAGCAGUGGGGAAUAUUGCACAAUGGGGGAAACCCUGAUGCAGCCAUGCCGCGUGUGUGAAGAAGGCCUUCGGGUUGUAAAGCACUUUCAGCGAGGAGGCGUUACUCGCAGAAGAAGCACCGGCUAACUCCGUGCCAGCCGCCGCGGUAAUAC